GCAUUAAUGGGGUAGCGGUAACCUGGGUCGUUGCCAUAAGUCCAAAUUCUUCGUGAAGCUAAUCCUUUGACCCGCCGGGGGUUUGAUUCCCUCUUGAUGCA
Molecule: non-coding RNA, 101 nt
Organism: Rhodocollybia butyracea
Lineage: Eukaryota; Fungi; Basidiomycota; Agaricomycetes; Agaricales; Omphalotaceae
Source: the annotation of a GenBank genome assembly